UUGUAGCAAGAAUGGUGAUACAAAAUUGUGUUAUCAUCAGUACGAGGAUGGUCUAGGUUUGCAUGAAGAUAUUAUAAGAUAAAUGAUAAGUAUGUAAAAAUGAACAAAAAUACAGAAAGCAAUAAUUUAAAUUUUUCGUUUUGAAGAUUGCCUGUAUGAUGAGGUAUCUUUGGAUAAUAACAUUAACGGUACGAAUUUCCCUGCACCAGAUGCGCUCUUCGACAAUACAUGUCUCUUCAGUGAUGCUCGUGGCAAAACAAUUUGAAAUUCAAACUCUACGAAAUCACAAAAUUUUGAAAAACGUGACUACAUGAGCUAACGACGACAUUCAUGAUUGGAAAAUAUAAUGAGUUUCCGAUAGUUUGCAUAUAAAUGUAGCCCUGUGUUGUCCGUUAACU
RNAcentral lists this long non-coding RNA (398 nucleotides) under Mytilus galloprovincialis (Mediterranean mussel). Lineage: Eukaryota; Metazoa; Mollusca; Bivalvia; Mytilida; Mytilidae. The record is from RNAcentral.